This 1082-nucleotide long non-coding RNA is filed under the name Mus musculus (house mouse). Its description in RNAcentral is "RIKEN cDNA 9330188P03 gene (9330188P03Rik)". Lineage: Eukaryota; Metazoa; Chordata; Mammalia; Rodentia; Muridae. The record is from RNAcentral.
ACAGGACUUGUGAUGUAGAUCGUCGUCAUUUUUGUUUCACAAACAAGGAAGGAGAAUCUCAGAGAUUCCGUAAACUCCAUAAAGCGGUGAUUCAUGACAGAAGCAGGGACGCAACUUCGACCAGUUGUGCUGUGAUUUAGAAUUCUUAGCUGGAGCUGCCCCACCCACCACGACAAUCUGAGACUUGGAAUCUGAACCUGGAGUUGGAAGCAGAACUUUAGAUCAGUGUGAUGCUCCUCCUGCACAGAGGCUUCUUGUGGUAGACGUCAGUCAACACUGAAACCCACAGCUCAUCAACACUCAGAGAAAAGGAGACCUUGAGACCCUGAAUCCUACGUGACAUGUUUAUAUUAUAUCCCUCAUUUCGAAGCUAACGUGUCUACAUAGAAGAGGAGGCAGAAAGAUUGUAAGAAUCAGAAGCAAUGGAUGGUUUCAAAGAAAGAAUGUCUUCCAGACAUAGCAGAGCAGAUGCACGUAUGACCUCACAGAGACUGUGGUAGCAUGCACAAGACCCGCACAAACUCAAGCUAGACAUAAUCUCGGCACACAGGAGGGUAGGCACGACAUCCCGUUUCCUGCUGCUGGGAGACAGACAGUGAACUGUCUUCCACAGGAUGGCCACACUCUGGACAAACCCCUCUCUCGUGACAGUAGCCAGCCAACACAACCUGGACUCCAUGGGUUUUAUUUUGUAUUUAUGGUGAGGGUCGGGGGAGAAAGCACAAGAAGUUAGUGUGAAGGAUCAAACCCAGGACCGUGUUCAGGCUAAGCAAGCAUCCAACCACUGCGCUACAUCAGAAGCCCUUUUUUUGUGACUGGCUCUCUCUAUGUAAAGCUGACCUUGAACUUCCUCUGUACUCCACAUUGACCUGGAAACUGUCCUCUCUCUACCUACAUAGUGCUUGGAUUAUAGCUGUGACCACCUCAGGUGAACAUGCUUUCAUUUCUUCUGAUACUUUUACAUGUUAUUAUCAAGAUGGCCUAACUCUAAUUUUCCAUUUCUGUAGGGGAAAAUGUCUAUAAACAUUUCAGCUCAAUAAAUAGUUGAUUGUGGUGGAAAUAAAACUUUUUUUUUUAUUCCC